This 515-nucleotide ribosomal RNA is filed under the name uncultured bacterium. Its description in RNAcentral is "partial 16S ribosomal RNA". It matches the Rfam family "Bacterial small subunit ribosomal RNA", at positions 28 to 523 of the family's 1533-position model. The record is from RNAcentral.
GAUGAACGCUGGCGGCGUGCCUAAUACAUGCAAGUCGAGCGAAUGGAUUAAGAGCUUGCUCUUAUGAAGUUAGCGGCGGACGGGUGAGUAACACGUGGGUAACCUGCCCAUAAGACUAGGAUAACUCCGGGAAACCGGGGCUAAUACCGGAUAACAUUUUGAACCGCAUGGUUCGAAAUUGAAAGGCGGCUUCGGCUGUCACUUAUGGAUGGACCCGCGUCGCAGUAGCUAGUUGGUUAGGUAACGGCUCACCAAGGCAACGAUGCGUAGCCGACCUGAGAGGGUGAUCGGCCACACUGGGACUGAGACACGGCCCAGACUCCUACGGGAGGCAGCAGUAGGGAAUCUUCCGCAAUGGACGAAAGUCUGACGGAGCAACGCCGCGUGAGUGAUGAAGGCUUUCGGGUCGUAAAACUCUGUUGUUAGGGAAGAACAAGUGCUAGUUGAAUAAGCUGACACCUUGACGGUACCUAACCAGAAAGCCACGGCUAACUACGUGCCAGCCGCCGCUGUAA